UGAUUGUGAAACGCAAACUAAGGAUAGA
RNAcentral lists this non-coding RNA (28 nucleotides) under Bombyx mori (domestic silkworm). Lineage: Eukaryota; Metazoa; Arthropoda; Insecta; Lepidoptera; Bombycidae. The record is from RNAcentral.